This 429-nucleotide ribosomal RNA is filed under the name uncultured bacterium. RNAcentral's name for it is "bacterial SSU rRNA". It matches the Rfam family "Bacterial small subunit ribosomal RNA", at positions 355 to 776 of the family's 1533-position model. The record is from RNAcentral.
UGAGGAAUAUUGCGCAAUGGGCGAAAGCCUGACGCAGCGACGCCGCGUGGAGGAUGAAGGUCUUCGGAUUGUAAACUUCUGUUAAGUGGGAAGAAAGGGCUGCUUUUAAUAGAAGCAGUUAAUGACGGUACCAUUAAAGAAAGCACCGGCUAAACUCGUGCCAGCAGCCGCGGUAAUACGAGUGGUGCAAGCGUUAUUCGGAAUAAUUGGGCGUACAGGGUGUGUAGGCGGUAUGUUAAGUCUGUUGUUAAAGACUCCGGCCUAACCGGAGACAGGCAGCGGAAACUGGCGUACUAGAGGGUGGAAGAGAGAAGUGGAAUUCUCGGUGUAGCGGUAAAAUGCGUAGAUAUCGAGAGGAACACCGAUGGCGAAGGCAGCUUCUUGGUCCAUACCUGACGCUGAAACACGAAAGCGUGGGGAGCAAACAGG